RNAcentral lists this ribosomal RNA (1140 nucleotides) under Nocardia salmonicida. Its description in RNAcentral is "bacterial SSU rRNA". It matches the Rfam family "Bacterial small subunit ribosomal RNA", at positions 35 to 1201 of the family's 1533-position model. Lineage: Bacteria; Bacillati; Actinomycetota; Actinomycetes; Mycobacteriales; Nocardiaceae. The record is from RNAcentral.
GCCAUUCGGCGUGCUACCAUGCAAGUCGAGCGGUAAGGCCCUUCGGGGUACACGAGCGGCGAACGGGUGAGUAACACGUGGGUGAUCUGCCUUGCACUUCGGGAUAAGCCUGGGAAACUGGGUCUAAUACCGGAUAUGACCACGAACUGCAUGGUUUGUGGUGGAAAGAUUUAUCGGUGCGAGAUGGGCCCGCGGCCUAUCAGCUUGUUGGUGAGGUAACGGCCCACCAAGGCGACGACGGGUAGCCGACCUGAGAGGGUGACCGGCCACACUGGGACUGAGACACGGCCCAGACUCCUACGGGAGGCAGCAGUGGGGAAUAUUGCACAAUGGGCGAAAGCCUGAUGCAGCGACGCCGCGUGCGGGAUGACGGCCUUCGGGUUGUAAACCGCUUUUGACAGGGACGAAGCGCAAGUGACUGUACCUGUAGAAUAAGGACCGGCCAACUACGUGCCAGCAGCCGCGGUAAUACGUAGGGUCCGAGCGUUGUCCGGAAUUACUGGGCGUAAAGAGCUUGUAGGCGGUUCGUCGCGUCGUUUGUGAAAACUUGGGGCUCAACCUUAAGCUUGCAGGCGAUACGGGCGGACUAGAGUACUUCAGGGGAGACUGGAAUUCCUGGUGUAGCGGUGAAAUGCGCAGAUAUCAGGAGGAACACCGGUGGCGAAGGCGGGUCUCUGGGAAGUAACUGACGCUGAGAAGCGAAAGCAUGGGUAGCAAACAGGAUUAGAUACCCUGGUAGUCCAUGCCGUAAACGGUGGGUACUAGGUGUGGGGCUCCUUCCACGGACUCCGUGCCGUAGCUAACGCAUUAAGUACCCCGCCUGGGGAGUACGGCCGCAAGGCUAAAACUCAAAGAAAUUGACGGGGCCCGCACAAGCGGCGGAGCAUGUGGAUUAAUUCGAUGCAACGCGAAGAACCUUACCUGGGUUUGACAUACACCGGAAACCUGCAGAGAUGUAGGCCCCCUUGUGGUCGGUGUACAGUGGUGCAUGGCUGUCGUCAGCUCGUGUCGUGAGAUGUUGGGUUAAGUCCCGCAACGAGCGCAACCCUUAUCUUAUGUGCCAGCGCGUAAUGGCGGGACUCGUGAAAAGACUGCCGGGUCAACUCGAGAAGUUGGGACGACGUCAGGUCAUCAUGCCCC